AUACAAAAAUUUUACUUUUUGGACAUUUUCGAGGACUGGCUGAUGGAACGACCUGUAUAUUCAUUGAAGGAGUUCUUCGAUCUUCUAUAAAUACCACAUCAAUAUUUGUAAAGCAAGAAAUAUUAAUCUAAGUUUUUGUUAUUAUCUACUAUUGACGCAAUUGUAUUUCUUAAAG
Homalodisca vitripennis (glassy-winged sharpshooter) is the source of this 175-nucleotide long non-coding RNA. RefSeq lists it as uncharacterized. NCBI's taxonomy places the organism in Eukaryota, Metazoa, Arthropoda, Insecta, Hemiptera, Cicadellidae. The record is from RefSeq and is a predicted model, not a curated record. The transcript is spliced from 3 exons.